Molecule: ribosomal RNA, 440 nt
Filed under: uncultured bacterium
Lineage: Bacteria
Description: partial 16S ribosomal RNA
Rfam family: Bacterial small subunit ribosomal RNA
Source: RNAcentral
CCUACGGGAGGCAGCAGUGGGGAAUAUUGCACAAUGGUGGAAACCCUGAUGCAGCGACGCCGCGUGAGUGAAGAAGUAUUUCGGUAUGUAAAGCUCUAUCAGCAGGGACGAAAAUGACGGUACCUGAUUAAGAAGCCACGGCUAACUACGUGCCAGCAGCAGCGGUAAUACGUAGGGGGCAAGCGUUAUCCGGAUUUACUGGGUGGAAAGGGAGCGUGGACGGCAGCCCAAGUCUGGAGUGAAAUGCCGGGGCUUAACCCCGGAACUGCUUUGGAAACUGUGCCGCUAGAGUGCAGGAGAGGUAAGUGGAAUGCCUGGUGUAGCGGUGAAAUGCGUAGAUAUUAGGAGGAACACCAGUGGCGAAGGCGGCUUACUGGACUGUAACUGACGUUGAGGCUCGAAAGCGUGGGGAGCAAACAGGAUUAGAUACCCUAGUAGUC